This 253-nucleotide ribosomal RNA is filed under the name uncultured bacterium. RNAcentral describes it as "partial 16S ribosomal RNA". It matches the Rfam family "Bacterial small subunit ribosomal RNA", at positions 524 to 776 of the family's 1533-position model. The record is from RNAcentral.
UACAGAGGUCUCGAGCGUUGUUCGGAUUCAUUGGGCGUAAAGGGUGCGUAGGCGGCGUGGCAAGCCUGAUGUGGAAUCCCGGGGCUCAACCCCGGAACUGCAUUGGAUACUGCCAUGCUAGAGUACUGGAGAGGAGAUUGGAAUUUACGGUGUAGCAGUGAAAUGCGUAGAUAUCGUAAGGAAGACCAGUGGCGAAGGCGAAUCUCUGGACAGUUACUGACGCUGAGGCACGAAGGCCAGGGGAGCAAACGGG